Hippocampus comes (tiger tail seahorse) is the source of this 119-nucleotide long non-coding RNA. RefSeq lists it as uncharacterized. The record is from RefSeq and is a predicted model, not a curated record. The transcript is spliced from 2 exons. NCBI's taxonomy places the organism in Eukaryota, Metazoa, Chordata, Actinopteri, Syngnathiformes, Syngnathidae.
CUCGAAGUCGGAAUCCUCGCAAAGGGAAAAAGGUGGAGAGUAACGCUUCGCAAAACAGGAAGGUCACAGACUUCUUCCCAAUCAGGAGGAGUAACAGGAAAACUCAAGCAGAGUUGAAG